CUGUGAAGGGAUACCUGUGAGGGAUCCUGGAGGUAUCAGAAGUGCGAAUGCUGACAUAAGUAACGAUAAAAGAAGUGAAAAACUUCUUCGCCGAAAAUCCAAGGGUUUCUGCGCAAGGUUAAUCCGCGCAGAGUUAGUCGGCACCUAAGGCGAGGGCGAAAGCCGUAGUCGAUGGAAAUAAGGUUAACAUUCCUUAACCAGAUGGUAGUGACGGAUCUUGUAAGUUGUAAGUUCUUAAUGGAUUGAGCUUGCCGCGAAAAGGUUCCAAGAAAUAGCUCCAUCAUUAGACCGUACCCUAAACCGACACAGGUGGAUUAAUAGAGUAUAUUUAGGCGCUUGAGAGAAUGAUGUUGAAGGAACUCGGCAAAAUACUUCCGUAACUUCGGGAUAAGGAAGACCUUCUUGUAGGCAACUAUAGGAGGGUGGCACAAGCCAGGGAGAAGCGACUGUUUAUCAAAAACACAGGGCUCUGCUAACACGUAAGUGGAUGUAUAGGGUCUGACGCCUGCCCGGUGCUGGAAGGUUAAUGCGGUUGGUGCAAGCUAACUUCUGAAGCCCCAGUAAACGGCGGCCGUAACUAUAACGGUCCUAAGGUAGCGAAAUUCCUUGUCGGGUAAGUUCCGACCUGCAUGAAUGGCGUAACGAUUUCUCCGCUGUCUCCAACAUCAACUCAGUGAAAUUGAAUUCUCCGUGAAGAUGCGGAGUUCGCGUAGUUAGACGGAAAGACCCCGUGCACCUUUACUGCAACUUUACAUUGGUAUUAGGAAAAACAUAUUUAGCAUAGGAGGGAGACAUUGAAGCAAAAGCGUCAGCUUUUGUGGAGUCACCAGUGAAAUACCUCUUUUGUUUUUCUUGGUAUCUAACUGAUUGCCGUUAUCCGGCAUCAAGACAUUGUAUGGUGGGUAGUUUGACUGGGGCGGUCGCCUCCCAAAUAGUAACGGAGGCGUGCGAAGGUAGGCUCAGAACGGUCAGAAAUCGUUCGUAGAGUGCAAUGGCAUAAGCCUGCCUGACUGUGAGACUGACAAGUCGAGCAGAGACGAAAGUCGGUCAUAGUGAUCCGGUGGUUCUGAGUGGAAGGGCCAUCGCUCAACGGAUAAAAGGUACGCCGGGGAUAACAGGCUGAUACUGCCCAAGAGCUCAUAUCGACGGCAGUGUUUGGCACCUCGAUGUCGGCUCAUCACAUCCUGGGGCUGGAGCAGGUCCCAAGGGU
RNAcentral lists this ribosomal RNA (1210 nucleotides) under marine metagenome. RNAcentral describes it as "bacterial LSU rRNA". It matches the Rfam family "Bacterial large subunit ribosomal RNA", at positions 1248 to 2572 of the family's 2925-position model. The record is from RNAcentral.